Molecule: non-coding RNA, 22 nt
Filed under: Arabidopsis thaliana (thale cress)
Lineage: Eukaryota; Viridiplantae; Streptophyta; Magnoliopsida; Brassicales; Brassicaceae
Source: RNAcentral
UCCAUUGAAUCAGAUUCGUUGU